UACGGGGGGGGCAAGCGUUGUUCGGAAUUACUGGGCGUAAAGGGCUCGUAGGCGGCCAACUAAGUCAGACGUGAAAUCCCCCGGCUUAACCUGGGAACUGCGUCUGAUACUGGAGGGCUUGAGUGCGGGAGAGGGAUGUGGAAUUCCAGGUGUAGCGGUGAAAUGCGUAGAUAUCUGGAGGAACACCGGUGGCGAAGGCGGCAUCCUGGACCGACACUGACGCUGAGGCGCGAAAGCUAGGGUAGCAAACGGG
Molecule: ribosomal RNA, 253 nt
Filed under: uncultured bacterium
Lineage: Bacteria
Description: partial 16S ribosomal RNA
Rfam family: Bacterial small subunit ribosomal RNA
Source: RNAcentral